RNAcentral lists this long non-coding RNA (1038 nucleotides) under Felis catus (domestic cat). Its description in RNAcentral is "lncRNA (ENSFCAG00000051158.1)". Lineage: Eukaryota; Metazoa; Chordata; Mammalia; Carnivora; Felidae. The record is from RNAcentral.
AUGGUGGCCAGCGCCCUGGACCAGGGGUGCCUCGGCUCUGUCUCUCCGGUCGCCCUUAAUCCCCUCCUUCCUAUUAUGGUCAGUCUACCGAGCCCCCCCCCCCCAAGUGCUUCCCUGUCCCCAUUCCCAAGCAGCAGCUCUUUGCAAGGAAACGGGGUGGGGAGAAGGACUCGGCCUUUUGGGGACAUCUCGGGUCCACCCCUGCAGCGGGAGGGAGAUAGUGGGCUGAGGAAGGAGCGCCUCAGGCCCGGGCAGCCUUCUGUAGAGACGCUCUCGGCUGAGGGUGGCAACUUCCUGCAGCAGGAACGCAAAUGUGCUGGUUGUGCACAGCGCCCAGGGGUGGGAGAGGCCCCGGGAAUAAGAGGCGAGCGUGGGCUGGGUGUGUGGGGAAGGUGUAAACACAAUCUGCUCCCACCAGAGCCAGCCUGCUCCGUACGGGAGAGCACCCCCCCCCACCCAGCCCACACAGCGCCCCAGCUGCCAGGGUCCCCCGGCAGCCGCCGAGGCCGGGCGAGAACACAUUCCCCACCCCCAGCACCCCUUCCCCUGGCUUUCCCUCCCCUCUCCUGGGACAGAAGCCUGCAGGGGCCCCCAUCCCCUGAGCAGGUUCCUAGAAGAGUGCUGCCAAGGGGUGUCGCUUCGUGGAUGUGUGUCUGGGCCGCGAGCCAGCCCCUGUCCAGCCAGGGUGACCUUGGCCUGACAACUCCUCAGACUAGUGGAAGGAGACAGGGCAAUUUGGAAGUGGCAGGGAGCAGAGGCGAGGCUGCAGUGACAGGAACGUGGCGAGCACAGGACGAGCUCAAAGGUAGGAUCGGGGAGCGCAGGCUGGGUCCCCAGAGCAGUGCCCGCCGCCCCGCCCCCCGCCCCCGCCCCCGUGGCCCUCAGCCUGACAGCCCUGUCACCGGGGAAGGUGAGGCCUCGCAGGAGAAAGACAGGCUGACGGGAGCUGAGACAGGUGGUCACGAACUCCUGGGCCCGUGUCAGGUGGGCGGUGGGGCUCUGUCUCGUUCCAGCACAGAGCUCCUUUCCCUGGUGUGA